RNAcentral lists this transfer RNA (66 nucleotides) under Lophosquilla costata. RNAcentral's name for it is "tRNA-Tyr". It matches the Rfam family "tRNA". Rfam says of the family: Transfer RNA (tRNA) molecules are approximately 80 nucleotides in length. Their secondary structure includes four short double-helical elements and three loops (D, anti-codon, and T loops). The record is from RNAcentral. Lineage: Eukaryota; Metazoa; Arthropoda; Malacostraca; Stomatopoda; Squillidae.
GAUAAGAUGGCUGAGGUUAGGCGGUAGAUUGUAAAUCUAUUAACGGGGUGUUUUCCUCUCUUGUCA